AUACGUAGGGGGCGAGCGUUGUCCGGAAUGAUUGGGCGUAAAGGGCGCGUAGGCGGCCCGGUAAGUCUGGAGUGAAAGUCCUGUUUUUAAGAUGGGAAUUGCUUUGGAUACUGUCGGGCUUGAGUGCAGGAGAGGUAGGUGGAAUUCCCAGUGUAGCGGUGAAAUGCGUAGAGAUUGGGAGGAACACCAGUGGCGAAGGCGACUUACUGGACUGUAACUGACGCUGAGGCGCGAAAUUGUGGGGAGCAAACAGGAUUAGAUACCCUGGUAGUCCACACUGUAAACGAUGAAUGCUAGGUGUAGGGGGUAUCGACCCCUUCUGUGCCGCAGUCAACACAAUAAGCAUUCCGCCUGGGGAGUACGGCCGCAAGGUUGAAACUCAAAGGAAUUGACGGGG
This 397-nucleotide ribosomal RNA is filed under the name uncultured bacterium. RNAcentral's name for it is "partial 16S ribosomal RNA". It matches the Rfam family "Bacterial small subunit ribosomal RNA", at positions 523 to 918 of the family's 1533-position model. The record is from RNAcentral.